GCCCAGACUCCUACGGGAGGCAGCAGUGGGGAAUAUUGCACAAUGGGGGAAACCCUGAUGCAGCGACGCCGCGUGAAGGAAGAAGUAUUUCGGUAUGUAAACUUCUAUCAGCAGGGAAGAAAAUGACGGUACCUGACUAAGAAGCCCCGGCUAACUACGUGCCAGCAGCCGCGGUAAUACGUAGGGGGCAAGCGUUAUCCGGAUUCACUGGGUGUAAAGGGGGCGCAGACGGCGAUGCAAGCCAGGAGUGAAAGCCCGGGGCCCAACCCCGGGACUGCUCUUGGAACUGCGUGGCUGGAGUGCAGGAGGGGCAGGCGGAAUUCCUGGUGUAGCGGUGAAAUGCGUAGAUAUCAGGAGGAACACCGGCGGCGAAGGCGGCCUGCUGGACCGUGACUGACGUUGAGGCUCGAGAGCGUGGGGAGCAAACAGGAUUAGAUACCCCGGUAU
RNAcentral lists this ribosomal RNA (447 nucleotides) under uncultured bacterium. RNAcentral describes it as "bacterial SSU rRNA". It matches the Rfam family "Bacterial small subunit ribosomal RNA", at positions 329 to 793 of the family's 1533-position model. The record is from RNAcentral.